CGGCUAACUACGUGCCAGCAGCCGCGGUAAUACGUAGGUGGCAAGCGUUAUCCGGAAUUAUUGGGCGUAAAGCGCGCGCAGGUGGUUUCUUAAGUCUGAUGUGAAAGCCCACGGCUCAACCGUGGAGGGUCAUUGGAAACUGGGAGACUUGAGUGCAGAAGAGGAAAGUGGAAUUCCAUGUGUAGCGGUGAAAUGCGUAGAGAUAUGGAGGAACACCAGUGGCGAAGGCGACUUUCUGGUCUGUAACUGACACUGAGGCGCGAAAGCGUGGGGAGCAAACAGGAUUAGAUACCCUGGUAGUCCACGCCGUAAACGAUGAGUGCUAAGUGUUAGAGGGUUUCCGCCCUUUAGUGCUGAAGUUAACGCAUUAAGCACUCCGCCUGGGGAGUACGGCCGCAAGGCUGAAACUCAAAGGAAUUGACGGGG
Molecule: ribosomal RNA, 426 nt
Filed under: Bacillus thuringiensis
Lineage: Bacteria; Bacillati; Bacillota; Bacilli; Caryophanales; Bacillaceae
Description: bacterial SSU rRNA
Rfam family: Bacterial small subunit ribosomal RNA
Source: RNAcentral